GAGUUUGAUCGUGGCUCAGAACGAACGCUAUCGGUAUGCUUAACACAUGCAAGUCGAACGGACUAAUUGGGGCUUGCUCCAAUUAGUUAGUGGCAGACGGGUGAGUAACACGUGGGAAUCUACCCAUCAGUACGGAAUAACUUUUAGAAAUUAAAAGCUAAAUACCGUAUAUUCUCUACGGAAGAAAGAUUUAAUCGCUGAUGGAUGAGCCCGCGUCAGAUUAGGUCGUUGGUGAGGUAACGGCUCACCAAGCCGACGAUCUGUAGCUGGUCUGAGAGGAUGAUCAGCCACACUGGGACUGAGACACGGCCCAGACCUCCUACGGGA
RNAcentral lists this ribosomal RNA (327 nucleotides) under uncultured microorganism. RNAcentral describes it as "bacterial SSU rRNA". It matches the Rfam family "Bacterial small subunit ribosomal RNA", at positions 9 to 346 of the family's 1533-position model. The record is from RNAcentral.